This 710-nucleotide ribosomal RNA is filed under the name bacterium Lag11. Its description in RNAcentral is "bacterial SSU rRNA". It matches the Rfam family "Bacterial small subunit ribosomal RNA", at positions 90 to 794 of the family's 1533-position model. The record is from RNAcentral.
GGCGAGUGGCGAACGGGUGAGUACAGGAUCGGAACGCGCCCGGUAGCGGGGGAUAACUACGCGGAAAGCGUAGCUAAUACCGCAUACGCCCUACGGGGGAAAGCAGGGGAAUCCAAGAACUCGCACUAUCGGAGCGGCCUAUAUCGGAUUAGCUAGUUGGUGGGGUAACGGCUCACCAAGGCGACGAUCCGUAGCUGGUUUGAGAGGACGACCAGCCACACUGGGACUGAGACACGGCCCAGACUCCUACGGGAGGCAGCAGUGGGGAAUUUUGGACAAUGGGGGAAACCCUGAUCCAGCCAUCCCGCGUGUGCGAUGAAGGCCUUCGGAUUGUAAAGCACUUUUGGCUGGAAAGAAACGUCGCGGGUUAAUACCCCGCUGAACUGACGGUACCUGCAGAAUAAGCACCGGCUAACUUCGUGCCAGCAGCCGCGGUAAUACGUAGGGUGCAAGCGUUAAUCGGAAUUACUGGGCGUAAAGCGUGCGCAGGCGGUUCGGAAAGAAAGAUGUGAAAUCCCCGAGCUUAACUUUGGAACUGCAUUUUUAACUACUCUGCUAGAGUGUGUCAGAAGGAUGUGGAAUUCUCCGUGUAGCAGUGAAAUGCGUAGAUAUGCGGAGGAACACCGAUGGCGAAAGCAGCCUCCUGGGAUAACACUGACACUCAUGCUCGAAAGCGUGGGGGACAAACAGGAUUAGAUACCCUGGGUAGU